ACUCCUGCGGGAGGCAGCAGUGGGGAAUUUUGGACAAUGGGCGAAAGCCUGAUCCAGCAAUGCCGCGUGUGUGAAGAAGGCCUUCGGGUUGUAAAGCACUUUUGUCCGGAAAGAAAUCCUUGGUUCUAAUACAGUCGGGGGAUGACGGUACCGGAAGAAUAAGCACCGGCUAACUACGUGCCAGCAGCCGCGGUAAUACGUAGGGUGCGAGCGUUAAUCGGAAUUACUGGGCGUAAAGCGUGCGCAGGCGGUUUGCUAAGACCGAUGUGAAAUCCCCGGGCUCAACCUGGGAACUGCAUUGGUGACUGGCAGGCUAGAGUAUGGCAGAGGGGGGUAGAAUUCCACGUGUAGCAGUGAAAUGCGUAGAGAUGUGGAGGAAUACCGAUGGCGAAGGCAGCCCCCUGGGCCAAUACUGACGCUCAUGCACGAAAGCGUGGGGAGCAAACAGGAUUAGAUACCCCGGUAGUCCCAUGA
Molecule: ribosomal RNA, 474 nt
Filed under: uncultured organism
Description: partial 16S ribosomal RNA
Rfam family: Bacterial small subunit ribosomal RNA
Source: RNAcentral